Molecule: long non-coding RNA, 219 nt
Organism: Neomonachus schauinslandi (Hawaiian monk seal)
Lineage: Eukaryota; Metazoa; Chordata; Mammalia; Carnivora; Phocidae
Exons: 3
Source: RefSeq, a predicted model, not a curated record
CUGUGAUGAGUAAAGUGUAACAAUAUGUUUAUGAUUUCUCUUUAGGAAUUUUUCAGAUAGAAACUAAUUGCAGAGUUCCCGGUUGACCAGCAUUCAUAGGAAUGAAGACAAACACAGAGAUGGUGUGUCUAAGAAAUUUCAAAAGGUGUCGGCCUCCUGAUUGAAGGACAGUCAACUUAUUGGAUUCAUUUUUUUCAUCCAUUCCAGUCUGGCGACCAC